This 87-nucleotide transfer RNA is filed under the name Planctomycetota bacterium. Its description in RNAcentral is "Planctomycetes bacterium tRNA-Ser". It matches the Rfam family "tRNA". Rfam says of the family: Transfer RNA (tRNA) molecules are approximately 80 nucleotides in length. Their secondary structure includes four short double-helical elements and three loops (D, anti-codon, and T loops). Lineage: Bacteria; Pseudomonadati; Planctomycetota. The record is from RNAcentral.
GGAGAGAUGGCCGAGUGGCCGAAAGCACCUGUUUGCUAAACAGGAGUACUCGCAAGGGUACCACAGGUUCGAAUCCUGUUCUCUCCG